UGGGGAAUAUUGCACAAUGGGGGAAACCCUGAUGCAGCGACGCCGCGUGAGUGAAGAAGUAUUUCGGUAUGUAAAGCUCUAUCAGCAGGGAAGAUAAUGACGGUACCUGACUAAGAAGCCCCGGCUAACUACGUGCCAGCAGCCGCGGUAAUACGUAGGGGGCAAGCGUUAUCCGGAUUUACUGGGUGUAAAGGGUGCGUAGGUGGUAUGGCAAGUCAGAAGUGAAAACCCGGGGCUUAACCCCGCGGAUUGCUUUUGAAACUGUCAAACUGGAGUACCGGAGAGGUAAGCGGAAUUCCUAGUGUAGCGGUGAAAUGCG
RNAcentral lists this ribosomal RNA (319 nucleotides) under uncultured Anaerostipes sp. Its description in RNAcentral is "bacterial SSU rRNA". It matches the Rfam family "Bacterial small subunit ribosomal RNA", at positions 355 to 690 of the family's 1533-position model. The record is from RNAcentral. Lineage: Bacteria; Bacillati; Bacillota; Clostridia; Lachnospirales; Lachnospiraceae.